GUGCCAUAGGGACAAACUGGUCCCUAAAUUAUUUACCAUCCAUUUUGUAGAUCUUCAACUAUAUUUUUAGUAUGUUUAGUUUGAUCAUUAUGGAUGGGACAUCU
This is a non-coding RNA of Thalictrum thalictroides, 104 nucleotides long. NCBI's taxonomy places the organism in Eukaryota, Viridiplantae, Streptophyta, Magnoliopsida, Ranunculales, Ranunculaceae. The record is from the annotation of a GenBank genome assembly.